GAGGAGGACCGACAGCGGCUUCGAAAGGUCUGGCUUCGUCAUCGGAUGCCUCAUCCAGGAAGUCGAGGUUCAGUUUGGGAAACUUUCCGACCACCUUCUCUGGGCAGAGUUCGAAACUCUUGAUGAAGGAGUCCUGACCGAACUAGACCUGUAGAUCCUUCAUUUCGGAGGAGGCCUUGAACUCCUCCACUGUUCAGGCCCCUGCCUCCGAGACCAGGGAUGGGAUCCACACUUUUAGCUCAGAAAUCUGCGCCUUCAGUUCGGAGACCUCGGCCUCUGCCUUCUUUCUCUUCUCCUCCAAGGUAGUCCU
Molecule: long non-coding RNA, 310 nt
Filed under: Elaeis guineensis (African oil palm)
Lineage: Eukaryota; Viridiplantae; Streptophyta; Magnoliopsida; Arecales; Arecaceae
Description: long non-coding RNA (EGUI_LNC076694)
Source: RNAcentral